This 253-nucleotide ribosomal RNA is filed under the name uncultured bacterium. Its description in RNAcentral is "partial 16S ribosomal RNA". It matches the Rfam family "Bacterial small subunit ribosomal RNA", at positions 524 to 776 of the family's 1533-position model. The record is from RNAcentral.
UACGGGGGGAGCAAGCGUUGUUCGGAUUUACUGGGCGUAAAGGGCGCGUAGGCGGCGCAACAAGUCACUUGUGAAAUCUCCGGGCUUAACUCGGAAAGGUCAAGUGAUACUGUUGUGCUAGAGUGCGGAAGGGGCAACUGGAAUUCUCGGUGUAGCGGUGAAAUGCGUAGAUAUCGAGAGGAACACCUGCGGCGAAAGCGGCUCACUGGACCACAACUGACGCUGAGGCGCGAAAGCUAGGGGAGCAAACAGG